RNAcentral lists this ribosomal RNA (427 nucleotides) under uncultured beta proteobacterium. RNAcentral describes it as "bacterial SSU rRNA". It matches the Rfam family "Bacterial small subunit ribosomal RNA", at positions 355 to 774 of the family's 1533-position model. The record is from RNAcentral. Lineage: Bacteria; Pseudomonadati; Pseudomonadota; Betaproteobacteria.
UGGGGAAUUUUGGACAAUGGGCGAAAGCCUGAUCCAGCCAUGCCGCGUGAGUGAAGAAGGCCUUCGGGUUGUAAAGCUCUUUUAGUCGGAAAGAAAGAGUUGCAAUGAAUAAUUGUGAUUUAUGACGGUACCGACAGAAAAAGCACCGGCUAACUACGUGCCAGCAGCCGCGGUAAUACGUAGGGUGCGAGCGUUAAUCGGAAUUACUGGGCGUAAAGGGUGCGCAGGCGGUCUUGCAAGUCAGAUGUGAAAGCCCCGGGCUUAACCUGGGAAUUGCGUUUGAAACUACAAGACUAGAGUGCAGCAGAGGGGAGUGGAAUUCCAUGUGUAGCAGUGAAAUGCGUAGAGAUGUGGAAGAACACCGAUGGCGAAGGCAGCUCACUAGGCCUGGAUUGACGCUCAGGGACGAAAGCGUGGGGAUCAAACA